Molecule: ribosomal RNA, 1659 nt
Filed under: Meloidogyne arenaria
Lineage: Eukaryota; Metazoa; Nematoda; Chromadorea; Rhabditida; Meloidogynidae
Description: SSU rRNA
Rfam family: Eukaryotic small subunit ribosomal RNA
Source: RNAcentral
UCUGGUUGAUCCUGCCUGAACUGAUGUGUUUAUUUCAAAGAUUAAGCCAUGCAUGUAUAAGUUUAAUCGUUUAUCGAGAAACCGCGAACGGCUCAUUACAAUGGCCAUUAUUUACUUGAUCUUGAUUGUCUAAAUGGAUAACUGUGGAAAAGCUAGAGCUAAUACAUGCACUAAAGCUUUGUCCUUACGGAAAAGCGCAUUUAUUAGAACAAAACCACGCGGCUUCGGCUGCUUCUUGUUGACUCAGAAUAACUUAGCUGACCGCAUGGCCUUGUGCCGGCGGCGUGUCUUUCAAGCGUCCACUUUAUCAACUUGACGGGAGCAUAAUCGACUCCCGUGGUGGUGACGGAUAACGGAGGAUCAGGGUUCGACUCCGGAGAAGGGGCCUGAGAAAUGGCCACUACGUCUAAGGAUGGCAGCAGGCGCGCAAAUUACCCACUCUCGGCUCGAGGAGGUAGUGACGAGAAAUAACGAGACUGUUCUCUUUGAGGCCGGUCAUCGGAAUGGGUACAAUUUAAACCCUUUAACGAGUAUCAAGCAGAGGGCAAGUCUGGUGCCAGCAGCCGCGGUAAUUCCAGCUCUGCAAAUACAUAGAAUUAUUGCUGCGGUUAGAAAGCUCAUAGUUGGAUUCGUAUCGAUACCUUGGAACCCUUCGGGUGUCUCUAGGUGUUAUCGAUUUAUCGUAAUGUUCGGUUUUGAGUCCUUAACAGGAUUCUUAACAGGCAUUGCAAGUUUACUUUGAACAAAUCAGAGUGCUUCAAACAGGCGUUUUCGCUUGAAUGAUCGUGCAUGGAAUAAUAGAAAAUGAUUUCGGUUCAGUUUUAUUGGUUUUACGGACUGAGAUAAUGGUUAACAGAGACAAACGGGGCAUUUGUAUGGUCCCGUGAGAGGUGAAAUUCUUGGACCGUGGCCAGACAAACUACAGCGAAAGCAUUUGCCAAGAAUGUUUUUAUUAAUCAAGAACGAAAGUCUUCCGGUUCCGGGGGAAGUAUGGUUGCAAAGCUGAAACUUAAAGGAAUUGACGGAAGGCACCACCAGGAGUGGAGCCUGCGGCUUAAUUUGACUCAACACGGGGAAACUCACCCGGCCCGGACACUGUGAGGAUUGACAGAUUGAUAGCUUUUUCAUGAUUCAGUGGAUGGUGGUGCAUGGCCGUUCUUAGUUCGUGGAGUGAUUUGUCUGGUUUAUUCCGACCAGACAAAUGGUGGACUUUGCUCGUGGCUGCUUGAGCUUCCUUACGGGGCGGCGCUUGUGGACUAGUAGUGAGGACUGCUUGUGGAGUGCUUCAGCUGCGUGCUAUUUCGCAAGAUAUAGUACUUCGAUUGGCGCUGAACAACCAGUUUAGAACUGGCACGAACUCCGGGAAUCCGACUGUCUAAUUAAAACAGAGGAGACGGAUGGUCCUUGCAGGACGUUGACCGUGUCUGAUUUCUGCCCAGUGCUCUGAAUGUUAAGCCAAGGAAACUUGAUUAAGCGCGGGUAAACGGCGGGAGUAACUAUGACUCUCUUAAGGUAGCCAAAUGCUCGUCGGCUAACUACCGACGCGCACGAAUGGAUCAACGAGAUUCCCACUGUCCCUAUCUACUAUCUAGCGAAACCACAGCCAAGGGAACGGGCUUGGCAAAUUUAGCGGGGAAAGAAGACCCUGUUGAGCUUGAC